GUGGGGAAUCUUGCGCAAUGGGCGAAAGCCUGACGCAGCCAUGCCGCGUGAAUGAUGAAGGUCUUAGGAUUGUAAAAUUCUUUCACCGGGGACGAUAAUGACGGUACCCGGAGAAGAAGCUCCGGCUAACUUCGUGCCAGCAGCCGCGGUAAUACGAAGGGGGCUAGCGUUGCCCGGAAUUACUGGGCGGAAAGGGCGCGAAGGCGGACAGCUUAGUCAGAGGUGAAAGCCCAGGGCUCAACCUCGGAAUUGCCUUUGAUACUGGCUGUCUUGAGUUUGGGAGAGGUGAGUGGAACUCCGAGUGUAGAGGUGAAAUUCGUAGAUAUUCGGAAGAACACCAGUGGCGAAGGCGACUCACUGGCCCGUUACUGACGCUGAGGCGCGAAAGCGUGGGGAGCAAACAGGAUUAGAAACCCGGGUAGUCC
Molecule: ribosomal RNA, 425 nt
Filed under: uncultured bacterium
Lineage: Bacteria
Description: partial 16S ribosomal RNA
Rfam family: Bacterial small subunit ribosomal RNA
Source: RNAcentral